RNAcentral lists this ribosomal RNA (497 nucleotides) under uncultured bacterium. RNAcentral describes it as "partial 16S ribosomal RNA". It matches the Rfam family "Bacterial small subunit ribosomal RNA", at positions 28 to 507 of the family's 1533-position model. The record is from RNAcentral.
GAUGAACGCUGGCGGCGUGCCUAAUACAUGCAAGUCGAGCGAACGGACGAGAAGCUUGCUUCUCUGAUGUUAGCGGCGGACGGGUGAGUAACACGUGGAUAACCUACCUAUAAGACUGGGAUAACUUCGGGAAACCGGAGCUAAUACCGGAUAAUAUUUUGAACCGCAUGGUUCAAAAGUGAAAGACGGUCUUGCUGUCACUUAUAGAUGGAUCCGCGCUGCAUUAGCUAGUUGGUAAGGUAACGGCUUACCAAGGCAACGAUGCAUAGCCGACCUGAGAGGGUGAUCGGCCACACUGGAACUGAGACACGGUCCAGACUCCUACGGGAGGCAGCAGUAGGGAAUCUUCCGCAAUGGGCGAAAGCCUGACGGAGCAACGCCGCGUGAGUGAUGAAGGUCUGCGGAUCGUAAAACUCUGUUAUCAGGGAAGAACAUAUGUGUAAGUAACUGUGCACAUCUUGACGGUACCUAAUCAGAAAGCCACGGCUAACUACGUG